This is a long non-coding RNA of Calidris pugnax (ruff), 761 nucleotides long. RefSeq lists it as uncharacterized. The transcript is spliced from 4 exons. The record is from RefSeq and is a predicted model, not a curated record. NCBI's taxonomy places the organism in Eukaryota, Metazoa, Chordata, Aves, Charadriiformes, Scolopacidae.
CCCGGGGGUGUCUUCACGCAGGCAAGAGGCUUUUUUUCCACCAGUUUUACAGCCCUGGGACUCAAAACGUUUGCUUUUUUGGCAAAUCGUGUCAUAUUCUGGCUUGAAUUAAAGCCUCGCUGCCCUGAAGCCACCAGCACAGUAGCAAAGACCAGCCUGCUCCUUCCCAAGCUUGCGGAGAGCUUUCCCAGUGGGACUGUGCUGCCGGAGUGAGAGGCACGGCCUUCUCCUUGAGGGAUGCAGCAGUGAGACCCACACUUGCAGACCUUCUUGGUGUCUUGGUGGCUCCAGCGACAGCAGGCAGGCAGCCCUACCCAGGUUUGGAGAGCUUCCUGCAGUGGCAGACACCCAUCUGGCGUCAUUCACAAAGCGUUUUGAGCCACAGAGCGGUUGUCGCUUUGGCGUGCCCUACAGAAUGAGCUUCAGAGAGUCAACUUCAGAAUUCCCACACUAAGGAGCUGCUCGGUGCCUGCAACCCUUUGGUGUGAUCAAACAGCAAAGGAGAAGAUGAAGAAAUCCAAAGAUUAACUAGAGAAGAUAACCAUAGCAAGAGGUCAAAGGCGUUUAAGGAUUCCUUUUGAGAAGCAAAGUGACAUCUAAAGGGAUGAAGGUAAAAGAGACCAUAGAGAAAGUAGGUCAACACUGAAUGUAAGAGAGAUAUGAAGAGGCUCCUAUUGUGGUAUCAAAGUGCUUUUGUAAAUCAGAGUUACGUGAACAGUCAGUCAGAAAGAAUGAUACUAUCAAAGUCACAAUGUUUUUUA